UACGGAGGGUGCAAGCGUUGCUCGGAAUUAUUGGGCGUAAAGGGUAUGUAGGUGGUCUCAUUUGUCUGGGGUGAAAGCCUUGAGCUUAACUCAAGAAGUGCCCUAGAAACGGUGAGACUAGAGUUCUGGAGAGGGUCGUGGAAUUCCCGGUGUAGCGGUGAAAUGCGUAGAGAUCGGGAGGAACACCAGAGGCGAAGGCGGCGACCUGGACAAGCACUGACACUCAACUACGAAAGCGUGGGGAGCAAACAGG
Molecule: ribosomal RNA, 253 nt
Filed under: uncultured bacterium
Lineage: Bacteria
Description: partial 16S ribosomal RNA
Rfam family: Bacterial small subunit ribosomal RNA
Source: RNAcentral